UACGGGGGGGGCAAGCGUUGUUCGGAAUUACUGGGCGUAAAGGGCUCGUAGGCGGCCAACUAAGUCAGACGUGAAAUCCCUCGGCUUAACCGGGGAACUGCGUCUGAUACUGGAUGGCUUGAGAUUGGGAGAGGGAUGCGGAAUUCCAGGUGUAGCGGUGAAAUGCGUAGAUAUCUGGAGGAACACCGGUGGCGAAGGCGGCAUCCUGGACCAACACUGACGCUGAGGAGCGAAAGCGUGGGGAGCAAACGGG
RNAcentral lists this ribosomal RNA (253 nucleotides) under uncultured bacterium. RNAcentral's name for it is "partial 16S ribosomal RNA". It matches the Rfam family "Bacterial small subunit ribosomal RNA", at positions 524 to 776 of the family's 1533-position model. The record is from RNAcentral.